Molecule: ribosomal RNA, 460 nt
Filed under: uncultured bacterium
Lineage: Bacteria
Description: partial 16S ribosomal RNA
Rfam family: Bacterial small subunit ribosomal RNA
Source: RNAcentral
CCUACGGGUGGCAGCAGUGAGGAAUAUUGGUCAAUGGCCGAAAGGCUGAACCAGCCAUGCCGCGUGAAGGUCGGUGCCCUAUGGGCGUUAAACUUCUUUUGUGCGGGAGCAAUAAUGGUCACGGUUGGCCAGACGAGAGUACCGUACGAAUAAGCAUCGGCUAACCCCGUGCCAGCAGCCGCGGUGAUACGGGGGAUGCAGGCGUUAUACGGAUUUAUUGGGUUUAAAGGGUGCGUAGGCUGUGAGGUAAGUCAGCGGUGAAAUGCCCCCGCUCAACGGGGGGAAGUGCCAUUGAUACUGCCGUGCUGGAAUGCGGAUGCCGUGGGAGGAAUGUGUGGUGUAGCGGUGAAAUGCAUAGAUAUCACACAGAACACCGAUUGCGAAGGCAUCUCACGAAUCCGCGAUUGACGCUGAUGCACGAAAGCGUGGGUAUCAAACAGGAUUAGAUACCCCUGUAGUC